GUGCUUGCUUUGGCAGUAUAUACACCAAAAUUGAAACCAUACAGAGAUUAGCAUAGUUCCUGGCGAAGGGUGACACAAACGUUUGUCAAGCAUUCCAUAUUUAU
This is a small nuclear RNA of Mesocricetus auratus (golden hamster), 104 nucleotides long. The record is from Ensembl. NCBI's taxonomy places the organism in Eukaryota, Metazoa, Chordata, Mammalia, Rodentia, Cricetidae.